AAUUUUAUUUCUAACUUCUUCACAUCUUCUUUUAGUGUUUUAUUGUUACAGUUGCAACAAUCUUAACACAAUAGUUAUUUCUAUCUGUAACAAUGGGUAAGAACGAUGUUGAUAGGUCUGCAAAAUUUUCUGUGGAGCUCAUCCGGUUUGUCAAUCCGAUCACUUCCAUUAUAAAGGAGAUAAGUAUCAAUAAAUUUUGUUUAUUUGAUCGUUCCUUGUCUUUAAUUAUAGCACCCAACAAUCAUGGAUGUUAUUUGUGGAGUGAAAAAGCAAAAAAAUGAAUUUUUGGGUCAUCUGUAGUGUUUCGAGUUUAUCUCUUAACCUAGAAAGAAUUUUGAUAAAACCUUUUGGAAUAAUGUAGUAGACAUCUUCAUAGUUACCCACGUAAAAUUUCAGAAUUUUUGGAGUUGUAAAAGUAUUUUUUCGAUAUUUUACAAAACAGAGAAAUGUUCCUGAAAAAUUCUGACGAGCAGAAAUUUGUUGUUGACAAUAUUAGUUUUUAUGGGGUAACCAUGAGUUUUUUGAAAUGGUGGUUCAAACGAAGUUUGUAAAUCCAGAUGUUAUCUUCAAAAUUCAUAGUAUACUUUCUGAUUCGGAAUUGUGUUUUGUGAAUAAAGGUGCCAUCUAUAAGGGACAUGGCUAAUAGGCGCAUGUGGCUGAAAAUAAAUCUUCCAAAGAUGGCAAAGGUGAGAACGUCAAAUGCAACACUAUGCAUAGCUCUUGUAAGAAAGUGUUUUAUUGUUACAGUUGCAACAUUUACAGAAACAAGCCUACUACAGGUUCCUUGAAAAGACCUACUACCUUCAUCUAGUUGGCCUUGCACUGUUGUUGUACACCGUAGAAGGCUUAUCCCACCUUAUUUGGGGAAUGGAUGUACGAACAACAUUAGGGUACCAUUUCACAUUCGUGGUGAAUUCAAUGUGCCAUACAUGGGGGGAAAGCCAUGGAAAACCAACGACUUAUCCAGGAAAAAUUGGAUGGUAGGCUUAUUAGGACAUGGAGAAGGUUGGCACAACAACCAUCAUGCCUUUGAGUUCUCAGCUCGGUUAGGGCUCGAAUGGUGGCAGAUUGACGCGCCUUGGUACGAUAUAAAGCUGCUUGAGUAUCUUGGAUUAGCAUCAAAUGUCAAAGUCCCUACAGAGAUUCAGAAGUUUAAAUUGUCUCACGAAAAUCAUAAUGAAUUUCCUCAAACCGAAAAGUUGCACUAAUUCAAUCUAUUGAUUACCUUUAGUAAGUGAGGAUUUGGGUUUUCUUUGUAAACUUAAGUACUGUAAUAGGAUUAUUGCAAUAAGUUCCAUGAUGCAUAGCAAAUGUAUAUGUUCUAAUAGACCAUAGCAUAUAUGGGCAGAUAGCCUGCCUAAUUGCUAUAUUGAUGUGUGUAUCUGUACUUACAAGCUCUUCUCAUUGAUUCAUGAGCUUAGUUUUC
This is an RNA transcript of Papaver somniferum (opium poppy), 1426 nucleotides long. It is a transcript of the gene named acyl-CoA C20 Delta5-desaturase-like, with no coding region annotated. NCBI's taxonomy places the organism in Eukaryota, Viridiplantae, Streptophyta, Magnoliopsida, Ranunculales, Papaveraceae. The transcript is spliced from 3 exons. The record is from RefSeq and is a predicted model, not a curated record.